RNAcentral lists this unclassified non-coding RNA (253 nucleotides) under uncultured Halomonadaceae bacterium. Its description in RNAcentral is "contains 16S-23S intergenic spacer region". It matches the Rfam family "Bacterial small subunit ribosomal RNA", at positions 524 to 776 of the family's 1533-position model. The record is from RNAcentral. Lineage: Bacteria; Pseudomonadati; Pseudomonadota; Gammaproteobacteria; Oceanospirillales; Halomonadaceae.
UACGGAGGGUGCGAGCGUUAAUCGGAAUUACUGGGCGUAAAGCGCGCGUAGGCGGCCUGAUAAGCCGGUUGUGAACGCCCCGGGCUCAAGCUGGGCACCGCAUCCGGAACUGUCAGGCUAGAGUGCAGGAGAGGAAGGUAGAAUUCCCGGUGUAGCGGUGAAAUGCGUAGAGAUCGGGAGGAAUACCAGUGGCGAAGGCGGACUUCUGGACUGACACUGACGCUGAGGUGCGAAAGCGUGGGUAGCAAACAGG